CGUCUAGAAGUACAGAAGUAGCUUGAAAAUCGAAAUCACACAAGAAAUGGCAUUCUACUGUUGUCUAUAGAAAUAUCUCAUAUCAUUUGAUUAGUAGGUAAUGACAAGAACUAUUUGUGCCGUUCGUAUGGGCAAGAUUAAAUCUGAAAUGUGUAAAAGAAUUGGUUCAAUGUAAACAAUAUCCCAGCGUACGUCAAUGGCCGACUGUUACGAGCUCGGCUAUCCAGUCGAACGUUUUGAAGUUGCUGUGAGUCGACGAUUUCAUUGCGCCAUUUGCUUGAAUGUCUUCAAAGAUCCAGUUAUGUGUCGUCGGAAUCAACACCCGUUCUGUCGUGGUUGUAUCACUAGACAUCUUACGAACUUUCAAACAUGCCCAGUUUGUAUGGAUCAACUAACUGUCGAUACACUUAGCGAUGCUCCGCGGAUUUUAACCAUUACCUUUCUGAAUUGAGAAUGCGUUGUGAUUUUUAUCCACGUGGUUGCAGUCAGUACAUUAAAUGAG
Paramuricea clavata is the source of this 502-nucleotide non-coding RNA. The record is from the annotation of a GenBank genome assembly. Lineage: Eukaryota; Metazoa; Cnidaria; Anthozoa; Malacalcyonacea; Plexauridae.